Regulatory RNA element from Streptomyces sp. NRRL WC-3618, 172 nucleotides. It matches the Rfam family "c-di-AMP riboswitch aptamer (ydaO/yuaA leader)". From Rfam's summary of the family: This family represents a conserved RNA structure found upstream of the ydaO and yuaA genes in Bacillus subtilis and related genes in other bacteria. The ydaO/yuaA element is thought to act as a genetic "off" switch for the ydaO and yuaA genes in its native state. The record is from Rfam. Lineage: Bacteria; Bacillati; Actinomycetota; Actinomycetes; Kitasatosporales; Streptomycetaceae.
CGCUGCGAAGCGCCGUAGGCAGGAGCGGGGGACCCAAGGUAGGCGCCGCACCGGGCAGUUGUCCGGAGCGGCUCGGGGUGAAGCCGUACGCCGCCCGCAAGGGGCGUACGGCCGGGCAACUCAACCGGCCCGAACCCGACAGCUCACCUCGCAGGCGUCGGUGAGGGGAUUU